AGUGAACGCUGGCGGUAGGCCUAACACAUGCAAGUCGAACGGCAGCACAGUAAGAGCUUGCUCUUACGGGUGGCGAGUGGCGGACGGGUGAGGAAUACAUCGGAAUCUACUUUUUCGUGGGGGAUAACGUAGGGAAACUUACGCUAAUACCGCAUACGACCUACGGGUGAAAGCAGGGGAUCUUCGGACCUUGCGCGAUUGAAUGAGCCGAGGUCGGAUUAGCUGGUUGGCGGGGUAAAGGCCCACCAAGGCGACGAUCCGUAGCUGGUCUGAGAGGAUGAUCAGCCACACUGGAACUGAGACACGGUCCAGACUCCUACGGGAGGCAGCAGUGGGGAAUAUUGGACAAUGGGCGCAAGCCUGAUCCAGCCAUACCGCGUGGGUGAAGAAGGCCUUCGGGUUGUAAAGCCCUUUUGUUGGGAAAGAAAAGCAGCAGGUUAAUACCCCGCUGUUCUGACGGUACCCAAAGAAUAAGCACCGGCUAACUUCGUG
Molecule: ribosomal RNA, 492 nt
Filed under: uncultured bacterium
Lineage: Bacteria
Description: partial 16S ribosomal RNA
Rfam family: Bacterial small subunit ribosomal RNA
Source: RNAcentral